AGUGAGCGCUGGCGGUAGGCCUAACACAUGCAAGUCGAACGGCAGCACAGUAAGAGCUUGCUCUUACGGGUGGCGAGUGGCGGACGGGUGAGGAAUACAUCGGAAUCUACUUUUUCGUGGGGGAUAACGUAGGGAAACUUACGCUAAUACCGCAUACGACCUACGGGUGAAAGCAGGGGAUCUUCGGACCUUGCGCGAUUGAAUGAGCCGAUGUCGGAUUAGCUAGUUGGCGGGGUAAAGGCCCACCAAGGCGACGAUCCGUAGCUGGUCUGAGAGGAUGAUCAGCCACACUGGAACUGAGACACGGUCCAGACUCCUACGGGAGGCAGCAGUGGGGAAUAUUGGACAAUGGGCGCAAGCCUGAUCCAGCCAUACCGCGUGGGUGAAGAAGGCCUUCGGGUUGUAAAGCCCUUUUGUUGGGAAAGAAAAGCAGCAGGUUAAUACCCUGCUGUUCUGACGGUACCCAAAGAAUAAGCACCGGCUAACUUCGUG
RNAcentral lists this ribosomal RNA (492 nucleotides) under uncultured bacterium. RNAcentral's name for it is "partial 16S ribosomal RNA". It matches the Rfam family "Bacterial small subunit ribosomal RNA", at positions 29 to 507 of the family's 1533-position model. The record is from RNAcentral.